UACGUAGGGGGCGGGCGUAUCCGGAAUUACUGGGCGUAAAGCGCACGCAGGCGGUUCGCCAAGUUUGGAGUGACAGUUGUCGGCUCAACCGACAAAGGACUUCAAAAACUGGUGAACUUGAGGACGAGAGAGGAACAUGGAACUCCAGGUGUAGUAGUGAAAUGCGUAGAUAUCUGGAAGAACACCAAUGGCGAAGGCAAUGUUCUGGCUCGUUUCUGACGCUCAGGUGCGAAAGCCAGGGAGCGAACGGG
RNAcentral lists this ribosomal RNA (251 nucleotides) under uncultured bacterium. RNAcentral's name for it is "partial 16S ribosomal RNA". It matches the Rfam family "Bacterial small subunit ribosomal RNA", at positions 524 to 776 of the family's 1533-position model. The record is from RNAcentral.